UAGGGAAUCUUCCGCAAUGGACUAAAGUCUGACGGAGCAACGCCGCGUGAGUGAUGAAGGUUUUCGGAUCGUAAAGCUCUGUUGCCAGGGAAGAACAGCCAGGCGAGUAACUGCACUUGGAAUGACGGUACCUGAGAAGAAAGCCCCGGCUAACUACGUGCCAGCAGCCGCGGUAAUACAGAGGGGGCAAGCGUUAUUCGGAAUUAUUGGGCGUAAAGGGCGCGUAGGCGGUUUUUUAAGUCAGAUGUGUAAUCCCCGAGCUCAACUUGGGAACUGCAUCUGAGACUGGAAGACUAGAGUACUGGAGAGGGUGGUGGAAUUCCUCGUGUAGCGGUGAAAUGCGUAGAGAUGAGGAGGAACACCAGUGGCGAAGGCGGCCACCUGGACAGUAACUGACGCUGAGGCGCGAAAGUGUGGGUAGCAAACAGGAUUAGAUACCCUGGUAGUCCUUGCUGUAAACGAUGAACACUUGGUGUGGAGGGAGUUGACCCCUUCCGUGCCGGAGCUAACGCGUUAAGUGUUCCGCCUGGGGAGUACGGUCGCAAGGCUG
This 550-nucleotide ribosomal RNA is filed under the name uncultured bacterium. Its description in RNAcentral is "bacterial SSU rRNA". It matches the Rfam family "Bacterial small subunit ribosomal RNA", at positions 355 to 896 of the family's 1533-position model. The record is from RNAcentral.